UCCCUGGUGGUCCAGUGGUUAAGCUUCUGCACUCUCAGUGCAGGGGGCCCAGGUUCAAUCCCUGGUUGGAGAA
This 73-nucleotide transfer RNA is filed under the name Bos taurus (domestic cattle). It matches the Rfam family "tRNA". From Rfam's summary of the family: Transfer RNA (tRNA) molecules are approximately 80 nucleotides in length. The record is from Rfam by way of RNAcentral. Lineage: Eukaryota; Metazoa; Chordata; Mammalia; Artiodactyla; Bovidae. RNAcentral also lists the same sequence under 6 other names.